Molecule: microRNA precursor, 106 nt
Filed under: Paramuricea clavata
Lineage: Eukaryota; Metazoa; Cnidaria; Anthozoa; Malacalcyonacea; Plexauridae
Source: RNAcentral
AACGAGGGGUAUUCCACAAAAAAUUAUCCUGAGGGAUGAAAUAUUCCGAAGGCGAAGCCCGAGGAAUAUUUCAUCCCGCAGGGUAAUUUUUUGUGGAAUACCCCGA